This 549-nucleotide ribosomal RNA is filed under the name uncultured fungus. Its description in RNAcentral is "eukaryotic LSU rRNA". The stretch from base 186 to 339 matches the Rfam family "5.8S ribosomal RNA". Lineage: Eukaryota; Fungi. The record is from RNAcentral.
AAGUCGUAACAAGGUCUCCGUUGGUGAACCAGCGGAGGGAUCAUUACUGAGUACUACACUCUCUACCCUUUGUGAACUAUUAUACCUGUUGCUUCGGCGGCGCCCGCAAGGGUGCCCGCCGGUCUCAUCAGAAUCUCUGUUUUCGAACCCGACGAUACUUCUGAGUGUUCUUAGCGAACUGUCAAAACUUUUAACAACGGAUCUCUUGGCUCCAGCAUCGAUGAAGAACGCAGCGAAACGCGAUAUGUAAUGUGAAUUGCAGAAUUCAGUGAAUCAUCGAAUCUUUGAACGCACAUGGCGCCUUCCAGUAUCCUGGGAGGCAUGCCUGUCCGAGCGUCGUUUCAACCCUCGAGCCCCUGUGGCCCGGCGUUGGGAUCUGCCACGGCAGGCCCCUAAAACCAGUGGCGGACCCGAAGGGCCCUCUCCUUUGCGCAGUAGCAUUCGCCUCGCAUCGGGAGUCCUCGGCGUCCUGCCUCUAAACCCCCACAAGCCCGCUUCGGCGGCACCAAGGUUGACCUCGGAUCAGGUAGGAAUACCCGCUGAACUUAA